CAGAAUGGGAUAGCUCAGUAAGUAGAGCAUGAGAUUCUUAAUCUCAGGUGUUGUGGGUUUGAGCCCCAUGUUGGGUGAAAGA
Molecule: transfer RNA, 82 nt
Filed under: Podarcis lilfordi (Lilford's wall lizard)
Lineage: Eukaryota; Metazoa; Chordata; Lepidosauria; Squamata; Lacertidae
Description: tRNA.Lys
Rfam family: tRNA (bases 11-69)
About the family: Transfer RNA (tRNA) molecules are approximately 80 nucleotides in length. Their secondary structure includes four short double-helical elements and three loops (D, anti-codon, and T loops).
Source: RNAcentral